AGAUUACCAGUUUUCCUGUAACAGUUGUGGAAGACACUUUGCUCACAGCAUGGUGGUGAUGCACAAAUGCUAGCCUUGGACUCCUGACUAGAAGUGUGGGAUGACUCAUAUGUCAGGUCACCAGAGCCAGGCCUGCCAGAGGAUGUUUACCUGUGCAUGGCCAGAUGCUCUGGACAGCAGAAAGCCACAUUGGGAUAAAGACUGAGGAAGAAAGGACAGCAUGAGAAAACAAUGCCAGGAGAAUAGAGACAUAACAGGUGCAGGAUUGCAGCCAGCAGCUUGCUGAUGUCCCAGUGCUCAGAAUCUGAGAACAUGAGGAUCUUCAUAGCCGAGCGGAUGUGGGCAUAAUCCUUUGCGUCAUUCCGGCUGUCACAGGACAUGCAGUUGCCCUGCAAGACACCACACCCACAGCAAACUGCUUGGAAACCACUUUACAAGAUGAGUGGACACUACAGGACCAGAAAAUAAUCUUUGGCACUUACUCCAGGUUCAGUGUAGCUGCACUGUAUGAUAGGACAGACAACAAAAAGCCUCCAUGUCAGAGACAGAUUCUUGGGGCUUCUGCUAUAGUCCCAUAUCCAAAUCAGAGCCUCAGCGCAGCUGGAAUUUGGGACAGUGGCUUGCCAUCACUGCAAAACAUGACACAUAUUUAUAAAUGACU
This is a long non-coding RNA of Harpia harpyja (harpy eagle), 661 nucleotides long. RefSeq lists it as uncharacterized. Lineage: Eukaryota; Metazoa; Chordata; Aves; Accipitriformes; Accipitridae. The record is from RefSeq and is a predicted model, not a curated record. The transcript has 6 exons.